This is a long non-coding RNA of Mytilus trossulus (common blue mussel), 596 nucleotides long. RefSeq lists it as uncharacterized. The record is from RefSeq and is a predicted model, not a curated record. The transcript is spliced from 3 exons. NCBI's taxonomy places the organism in Eukaryota, Metazoa, Mollusca, Bivalvia, Mytilida, Mytilidae.
GUUGAUUCGUCGAUUCAAACGUUCCGCGAAAAAUGUUGACGUUGGAGAGAUUUAAAUUUGAUCUGAGAUUGUGUAGCCUUGGUUUAGAAGAAUGGACGAGUAACUGUAACACUUACGGAGUUCCUUCUCGUGCAGUUAGAAGAAAAUGAAGAAGGCAUCGGACAUUUCGGAAGAAAAGACGAUAUCUCAGACUUUGAUAUCAUAAAACAGGUGGUACGUUGGAAAAAAUCAUCCCGGAGGCAUGAACACAUCAAAUCAAUCAGAUUUUGAGACCUGCUUUUUAUGGAAUGAAACAGUAUUAUGGUUGCACAAAAUUUAAAAAAAAAAUAUAUUUGUGGUUAUGUGAACGAACCUCAAUCGUACAAAGUCUACAAAAAGCAGCAAGAUAUCAUCAUGAUUCCUAUUUGUACCAUUCAACUUGCAGGACAAACAGGAAAAGACAACCAGCCUUUGUGAGAACUGUCUUAUAAAGAGACAUUUGGAGUGAUUCUUUUAUGAAAUUAAGAUUAAAAAAAAAUAUUAGAAAUUAAAAUGUGCAAACAGGAAGAACAUCAACAUUAAACUGAUGAAUAGUAAAUAAAAUUUUAUUACAGAUA